CAAGCUGGCUGGGUGAUCGCGGCUUCGGGCUUCCGAAGCUGAGGAAAGUCCGCACUCCACAGAGCAAGGUGCCGGCUAACGGCCGGGCGGGGUAACUCGACGGCAAGUGCAACAGAGAGGUGUAUUGCCGGAAGGGGCGACUCUUUCGGCGAGGGUGAAACGGUGGUGUAAGAGACCACCGGCGGUGGCAGCGAUGUCGCCGGCCAGGCAAACCCCACCAGGAGCAAGGCCAAGCAGGGCGAAAGGUGGUCUUCGGGCCAUCUACGGGGUUGCUCGUCCCGUCCGACGUCCGGGUAGGCUGCAUGAGGUGGCCGGCAACGGCCGCCCCAGAUAGAUGAUCGCCGGAGCCGCGUGGGAAACCGCGUGGCGUCCACAGAAUGCGGCUUAUAGGCCGGCUUGCCAA
Molecule: RNase P RNA, 403 nt
Filed under: Chloroflexota bacterium
Lineage: Bacteria; Bacillati; Chloroflexota
Also listed under: 3 other names
Description: RNase P RNA component class A
Rfam family: Bacterial RNase P class A
About the family: Ribonuclease P (RNase P) is a ubiquitous endoribonuclease, found in archaea, bacteria and eukarya as well as chloroplasts and mitochondria. Its best characterised activity is the generation of mature 5'-ends of tRNAs by cleaving the 5'-leader elements of precursor-tRNAs.
Source: RNAcentral